This 393-nucleotide ribosomal RNA is filed under the name Stramenopiles sp. MAST-2D. Its description in RNAcentral is "partial small subunit ribosomal RNA". It matches the Rfam family "Eukaryotic small subunit ribosomal RNA", at positions 582 to 975 of the family's 1831-position model. The record is from RNAcentral.
AUUCCAGCUCCAAUGGCGUAUAUUAAAGUUGUUGCAGUUAAAAAGCUCGUAGUUGGAUUUCUGGCAGGAGCGACCGGUCGGCCCAUUGUGGUGUGUACUAGUGUUGCAUCUGGCCAUAUUUGUGGAGAGCGUGUGUGGUAUUAAUUUGUCGUGCUCGGGACCCGCAUCGUUUACUGUGAGAAAAUUAGAGUGUUCAAAGCAGGCUUAUGCCUUGGAUAUGUUAGCAUGGAAUAAUAAGAUAAGACUUUGGCGGUCUAUUUUGUUGGUUUGCACGCCAUUGUAAUGAUUGAUAGGGACAGUUGGGGGUAUUCAUAUUUAAUUGUCAGAGGUGAAAUUCUUGGAUUUAUGAAAGAUGAACUACUGCGAAAGCAUUUACCAAGGAUGUUUUCAUCA